Molecule: non-coding RNA, 124 nt
Organism: Brassica napus (rape)
Lineage: Eukaryota; Viridiplantae; Streptophyta; Magnoliopsida; Brassicales; Brassicaceae
Source: Rfam
GGAAUAUAAGAACCCGUUUCUUAACUUUUAACUAAAAAAACUAAGAACGUCUCUUCGAAAUCUUAUUUAAGAGCAGAUUCUUAGUUUUUUUAGUUAAAAGUUAAGAGACAUGUUCUUAUAAUAC